CUUUAGUAACGGCGAGUGAGCGGUAAAAGCUCAAAUUUGAAAUCUGGUACUUUCAGUGCCCGAGUUGUAAUUUGUAGAAUUUGUCUUUGAUUAGGUCCUUGUCUAUGUUCCUUGGAACAGGACGUCAUAGAGGGUGAGAAUCCCGUUUGGCGAGGAUACCUUUUCUCUGUAAGACUUUUUCGAAGAGUCGAGUUGUUUGGGAAUGCAGCUCAAAGUGGGUGGUAAAUUCCAUCUAAAGCUAAAUAUUGGCGAGAGACCGAUAGCGAACAAGUACAGUGAUGGAAAGAUGAAAAGAACUUUGAAAAGAGAGUGAAAAAGUACGUGAAAUUGUUGAAAGGGAAGGGCAUUUGAUCAGACAUGGUGUUUUUUGCAUGCACUCGCCUCUCGUGGGCUUGGGCCUCUCAAAAAUUUCACUGGGCCAACAUCAAUUCUGGCAGCAGGAUAAAUCAUUAAGAAUGUAGCUACUUCGGUAGUGUUAUAGCUUUUUGGAAUACUGUUAGCCGGGAUUGAGGACUGCGCUUCGGCAAGGAUGUUGGCAUAAUGGUUAAAUGCCGCCCGUCUUGAACCACGGACCA
This 575-nucleotide ribosomal RNA is filed under the name Hanseniaspora uvarum. RNAcentral describes it as "partial large subunit ribosomal RNA". It matches the Rfam family "Eukaryotic large subunit ribosomal RNA", at positions 78 to 668 of the family's 3401-position model. Lineage: Eukaryota; Fungi; Ascomycota; Saccharomycetes; Saccharomycodales; Saccharomycodaceae. The record is from RNAcentral.